This 196-nucleotide microRNA precursor is filed under the name Oryza sativa Japonica Group (Japanese rice). RNAcentral's name for it is "MIR812 microRNA precursor family". It matches the Rfam family "MIR812 microRNA precursor family". Lineage: Eukaryota; Viridiplantae; Streptophyta; Magnoliopsida; Poales; Poaceae. The record is from Rfam by way of RNAcentral.
AAAAAGACAAACCCUGGGUUUCCGUGUCCAACUUUAAUUGUCCGUCUUAUAUGAUUUUUUUUUAUAAUUCGUAUUUUUAUUGUUGUUAGAUGAUAAAACAUGAUUAAUAUUUUAUACGUGACUUGUCUUUUUAAUUUUUUUCAUAAUUUUUUUAAAUAAGACGGAGGGUCAAACGUUGGACACGGAAACCAGGGUU